Molecule: ribosomal RNA, 197 nt
Filed under: uncultured bacterium
Lineage: Bacteria
Description: partial 16S ribosomal RNA
Rfam family: Bacterial small subunit ribosomal RNA
Source: RNAcentral
ACUCCUACGGAAGGCAGCAGUGGGGAAUUUUGGACAAUGGGCGCAAGCCUGAUCCAGCCAUGCCGCGUGAGUGAAGAAGGCCUUCGGGUUGUAAAGCUCUUUCGGCCGGGAAGAAAUCGUGGUCUCUAACAUAGGCCAUGGAUGACGGUACCGGACUAAGAAGCACCGGCUAACUACGUGCCAGCAGCCGCGGUAAU